Molecule: ribosomal RNA, 468 nt
Filed under: uncultured bacterium
Lineage: Bacteria
Description: partial 16S ribosomal RNA
Rfam family: Bacterial small subunit ribosomal RNA
Source: RNAcentral
GACGAACGCUGGCGGCGUGCUUAACACAUGCAAGUCGAACGGUGAAGCGAGUGCUUGCACUCGUGGAUCAGUGGCGAACGGGUGAGUAACACGUGAGUAACCUGCCCAUCACUCUGGGAUAAGCACUGGAAACGGUGUCUAAUACUGGAUACGACCAACCCUUGCAUGGGGUGUUGGUGGAAAGAUUUAUCGGUGAUGGAUGGACUCGCGGCCUAUCAGCUUGUUGGCGGGGUAAUGGCCCACCAAGGCGACGACGGGUAGCCGGCCUGAGAGGGUGACCGGCCACACUGGGACUGAGACACGGCCCAGACUCCUACGGGAGGCAGCAGUGGGGAAUAUUGCACAAUGGGCGAAAGCCUGAUGCAGCGACGCCGCGUGAGGGAUGACGGCCUUCGGGUGGUAAACAUCUUUCAGCAGGGAAGAAGCGAAAGUGACGGUACCUGCAGAAGAAGCACCGGCGAACUACGG